Amphiprion ocellaris (clown anemonefish) is the source of this 570-nucleotide long non-coding RNA. The record is from Ensembl. NCBI's taxonomy places the organism in Eukaryota, Metazoa, Chordata, Actinopteri, Pomacentridae.
GUUCAACACAAAGCGGCGGUGGCAGUGGAGGGUCCAUCAUAUAAGGCUCUGGAGGCGACGAGUAGCAGAUCAGUUGCAGAACCUCCAACUUUAUAAAUAAAGUUUCAGAACCAUGGCAGUCAUCAUGGCAGCCAUCAAGACAUUAUUACAGGAGGAACAUCAUCAACCCUCAUUCCUUGUUGCUUCCUGGUGGUUUGUGAAACCUUAAAUCCAGAACACACGGUCCUUAAACGUUCCACACAGUGACUUAAAACUGCCUAUUCAGACACUGAUGGUGUUAAAUGGAUGAUAAACCCACUGAUGAAGGGCAGGAUCUUUCCACUGAGUAUACGGAUGAAUGCAAAGGUAUCAUAGACUCAACAAAGCUCAACAUGGAACAAACUUGUCUCAGACUUAAUCUUUCUCAACCUCAACCAUUAGUAGUUGCUCUUAUUUACCAUCAGCAGGUUUUAGUCCCACAGCAAGAGGAUUCAUUACUCAGUUCAAGUUCACUCUAGUCUCCCUGCUGGCUUAGAAGUUAGUAGGAAUUCUGGCAACUUUUUCUGGCACUCUUGCUGCUAGAUUUACAUG